AUCGCAGAAAUGUGGAUCUUAACUGCCCAUCUAACUACAGAACUUGUUCAUAACACAUCCCAAAACCUUCAGAAGAGACUUUCUUUUUUUCCAUCUAAAAACUUUUUACUGAAUUCCUGUUAACCCUAAGAUAAGGCCUCAAGUCCCCUUCCUAGCCUUCUACUUUAACCUCCAGAAUGCUGGGAUAACAGGUAUUGUCGCCACACCUGGUAUCUUAGGACAUAAAACUAUCCAGCACAAUUGACCUCUUGUCAACCCAACACAUAAACAAAUCACUGUAAAGUCACAACCUUUCUUUUCUUGUUCAUCCCCAAGAUCACACAUUAAUAUAAACAUCACAGUAUAAAACAUUUUACUAACUUAUAAAGUCCCACAGCCUUACAAAUCUAAACACUUUAAAAAUUCAGUCUUUUUAAAAAAAUCCAGUUUCUUUUAAAAUACAAAUUCUCUGUAAAACUCCAAAAUUUCCUUUUUUAAAAAAUGUAAAGUCUUUCAACUGUGGGCUCCUGGAACAUAAAAAAUAAGUACUUUCAUAUUUCAACCGGGGAAGAAAUAGGGCAAAGUAACUAUUUGAACAAGCAAAACCAAACUCCAACAGUGUAAAUAACUCGGCAUCCAGUGUCUGGGAUCCACUCCCAAUCUCCUGGGCUCCUCCAAGAGGCCUGGCUCACUUCUCCAGCUCUGCCUGCCCUCUGCAGCACACACAGCUUGUCAUCUAGGCUCCAGCUGGCUCCACUCCACAACUGCUGCUGUUCUUGGUGGCUAUCCUAUGGUACUGGCAUCUCCAAAAUGCUAGACUCUUCUGCUGAAACUCGGGUGUACUUUCAUCUUUGGGGACUCCAGCACUGCCACAUAGUGCCAAGCUUCAGCUGCUCUCCAUGACCCCUUCAUGCCUUCAAAACCAGUACCAUCUGGGUGACUCAUACUACCAAGUUCAGCUGCCGCAUGAGGUACAACCUUGGCCAUUUCUGGAACACAGCUUUCUGUGUGCUGACUCUGAGGAAACACUUCCCAGAAGACUUCAAGGGUCCCUAAAGGUGCCAUCGCCCCAGACAAUAGAAAGCAGUCUGGAGAACACGAUGCUCACAUUCCCAAGAGGCUGAAGAUGGAUGCCCCAACAUUACAGAGGAACCUUGGAGUGACUGUCCAGGCUGCCGGAUGUCUCUGUUCAUUUUUAGUUUUUGAAGUCACUUGCUCUGCACUUUCUGUUCACACAGGUAAUGUUAUAUCCUUCUCAGGUCUUUGAUGGGGUUGAAGAUUAGAUAGUUACAGUUACAGUUUCCCUUAGUCAUGAUAGAAAGUAAAUUAGGUACAAAACUUUGGACUCAUCAAGAGAGGAUAGAUAAUGGAGUAUUUUCUUUGAAUUUGCCAAAUACAAAUGGCCUGGGCAUUGUGAAUAUAAUUCUCACCUGAUAAUUGUUCUUUUUGUUUAUAGUUUUACUAUGUUAGAGUUAAAAAAAAAAAACCUUUCCUUUUUAUUUACACAAAAAGGGGGAAAUGUUGCAGAAUAUUCCUUUACACUGUGUGACAAUGUGUCACUGUGAUUGGUUUAAUAAAGAGCUAAGUGGCCAAUAUCUAUGCAGGAAGAUGUUAGGCAGGACUUCUGGGGACAGAGAGGUCUUGGGGAAGAAGAAAGGCAGAGUCCACAGCAAGAUGCAGAAGAAGCAAGACAUGUAGGAGGAGAGGUAAAAGCCACGAACCACAGGACAGCACAUAGGUUAAUAGAAAUGGGUUGAUUUAAGUUAUAAGAGCUAAUUAGAAACAAGCCUAAGCUAAGGCAAAGCUUUCAUAAUUAAUAAGUCUCUGUGUCAUUUUUUGUGAGCUGGCAGCCCAAAGAAAAAUCUGUCUACAAUGAACUGAACCAGGUAUUAAAGGAUUGCUUUGGUGUUUGUAUUUAGAACAGAGUGUGAGAGACACAAAUGAAAAGCAGGUAAGCUGAUUAGGAGGUCACUGGAUCACAGCUGCUUAUGGACAGGGAAAGAUGACGUCCAUGGGUUGGCCUUGUCAGGAGCAGGUCUGAGGGCCCUGAAAAGGUGAAGCCUGGCUUGAGUGAGUCUGACAAGAUGGAAAGAGCAACUGGGAAGACAGAAAAACGUUGGGCUGUGAAGGAGAGAAAAUGGACAAUAGCCGGAGGAGAUGCAAUUACCAUGUGUGCUGACAGGAAUAACCCACUGGGUGACAACUGCAUUAAUUUGCAUUCAUUUAUUGGCAUAGAUUAAUAUAUUAUCGGUUGAUAUUAAUCAUUUAUAUAGGAGGCGGGUAUAGUUGGACUUUCUUUGGACUGCCAGCUCCUGAAUAAUGACACAGAGAUUUAUUAAUUAUGAAAGCUUGGCCUUAGUUUAGGCUCUUUCCCAGCUAGCUCUUAAAACUUAAAUUAACCUGUUUCUAUUAAUUUAUAUUCUGCCAUGUGACUUAUUACCUCUCCUCAGUACCAUAUGCCUGACUUCCUCUAUGUCUGGCUGGUGAAUCCCUCUCCUCAGAUUCUUUUUCAGAGUUCCUACUUUCGCCUGGAAGUCCCACCUAUUCUCUCCUGCCCAGUUAUUGACCAUUUAGCUCUUUAUUAAACCAAUCCGAAGGUGCUUUAGGCAGGUGAGGUAAAAUAGAGACAUCUUCACACAGUAUACAAAAAGAUUAUCCCAACAGGAACACUUGCUACUCCAUUGACCUUGAGUAAAUGGAAGGAGAAAGGCUCAUCAACAUGGCAAAGGUGGUCCUUAGCUAAAGUCACGAAUAAUUUACCCAUAAGAGCAGUGGGGAGGGAGAGUAUGUAGUUCCAGGUGCAGAAAGGUGUGGACAUUGGUGGUAACAGCCACGAAAGUUAUAUUCUCACUCCUUUCAUUUUCUUAGGAAAAUUGGCAGGAUGAGGAAGGGAGAGGCAAUAGACAUCUGCAGGCCGGGAAGUAUGAAAGCUAGGUAUCUGAGAAACUGACCACAACCCAGAGGGUACAUCCCAGAAAGCACAUAGCAUGUGUGUUUGGAAGGUGUGGAGUGUGGGAUAAGUGUUCCUAAGAAAUGUGCAGCUAGGUAUCUGAGAAUCCAACCACCAUUCAGAAGGUACAUGGUAUGUGUGUGUUUGGAAGGUGUGCAGAGUGGGGUGACUCUGACAGAAAAAUGUGUGGCUACAAAAUUGGAGUCCAUUUGAGGCUGGGAUCCUUUAGUGUAAGCCUAGUCAGCCUCACUGUGUUUUUUCUGCUGUUAUGGUAUACUGAGUGGGUUCAGGCUGGGAACCUACUGGCCAUUCAGCUCUUUAUUAAACCAAUCAGAAGGCACCUUGGCAAAGACACAUCUUCACAGUGUACAAAAAGAUUAUUCCACAACAAUGACUUACUGAGAAGUCUCACUGGACAACAUACUGGCAACCAGGCCAAUGAAAAACAGCCCCCAAUCCACAUGCAUGCACGCGCGCGCGCGCGCGCGCGCGCACACACACACACACACACACACACACACACACACAGUGAGAGAACAUGGGCUACAUAAAUAAUUGAAUUAUGGAUGGGUAGAGUGUCAUGUAAUCUGGAAACAUGAGUUGGAAAUAGGGAAGAGGUAGAGAAAUAGUCUGGAAGCCACCAGGAGAAGAAGGCUGAAGGGCAGAGGUGGAUCCCAGCUGCACUAGAGAGGGCUGCAGGGGAAGAGUAUUCUCUGGGGAGCAGAGUUUCCAGUAUGCCAGGAAAGCAAAGUGACAUUUACAGAUAAGAGCAUAGAAAGAACCUGCAUGUGUGACCAAGUUUGACAAUACUAAAGCAUCAAAACACAAUGUCCAAGUCAUGCUGACAAUUCCAAAGUUAUCUGUAACUCACUGUACUUUUUGGUCCAAAAUAUACUUGGUGUCUAACCUGUGACCCAGUUGCCAUUCUUAUUUCCCAAGCAGACACAAUAAACAUAAUAUUCCCUAGAAAUAGCUCUAAACACAGGCUUGUGGUGAUGAAAGCCUGAGAAGCAAGGCAGUGGACAGUGACCCAGAAUGGUCUCUAGGGUGAGAUGCUAUGUGAGGUAGAGAGCAGGAGUGAGACAACUCUCUGGAUACUGUUCUGGGAGUCAGUGUGGAUGAGCACAUCAAAAAAAGAGUCAGGGCAAGGGAACAAGAAACCCGAAAAGCUUUAUGCUUUUAAUGAAGUAAUCUGAGACUCUAUGAUGCCUACAGUUCAGUGUUUCAAAAUGUCCAGUAACCAAUGGGAAAAGAAGUCUCAAACUCAGAAGAGAAGUGAAGUGGAGAGAUUUCUUAGGAGUCAUUCCACAGACGUGGAAGCCGAAAUGGGAGAGGGGUCACCCUUGUUGGAAAGAAUGCAGAGAGAAGGCUUCAGUGUGAGGCCCCAGAGCUGAUGGGCAACAGCUCCCCUGUGGGUGGCCAGCUUCCUGCUAAACAGUGAUCUUGCACUUGUACUUUAAUACAAAACAUAUUUAAUAUCUCUAUUUAUAUCUGAUUCAAGGGUGAAACUUUGAGACUGGUGAGGUGGGAGUUCUGUGCUGAGCCACAAGGCAAAGGAAGAAAUCUGUAAUACCAAUCCCAUCUACAGUGUUGAAUACAGUCUCCCCCAAAUUCACAUCCACCCAGAGCACCAAAGUGUGACCUUGUUUGAAAGGUGGUUCUUUGCAGAUAAAAUUAAGUUAAAAAAGAAAUCCUUCUGGAUUAUAACAUGCCGCGACCCACGCAGCUGGAGCACGAAAUCAGGCGAGGGACGCCGAGGUCAAACAGCACUCAAGACGCUCAGUCUCAGUUCGUCAGGGAAGCAGCUCUCUUUAUUCAUACCAACAUGGGCUUAUAUACCCCUCCAACAGCAGGGGUCAAGGAACGGCUACUCUGUAUCCAGAGGCAAGCCAGACACUGCUUUCCAAACAGGAAAAACCACAGGAGAACUGAUCUCCAGCACCCUCCGGAACCCAACUGCAUAUUUUUCACACAAACAACUUAACUGGGACAGGACAAAAAAGGACAUUUAAAAUUAAGGCAGCAAACUUAUUGCUGCUGACAAUAACAGGCUCUAAAUCCAAUGCCUGGUAUCCUUAUGGGAGGAGAUAGCACAGAGAUACCCAGGAAGGUCUUAUAAGAACAGAGGCAGAGAUGGGAGGCAACUUAACUGUACACCAACAAGGCCAUCAGCAACUAUGAAAAACAGAGACACAACGUUUCUUUCUGAGGAACUCUGUUUUCUAGAAUAAAUGACUAAAUCUCUUUUAGACAAUAGAUUUUGGGUGUUCAUUACAACAUCCAUAGGAAAAUAAUACGCUGCUUAUUUGAAAUUUGGUAUUUUCUCGUAGAUCUCCUAGCAUUAAGCUUGUGUUUUUGAAAUACUGUCUGAAGGGCCAAUGUGGUGGUUCAGCAGGUGAAGACAGUCAUUUGUCAAGCUUUAUGUACAGCCCCAUAUUUUUGACACACUUUCCUCAGAGAUGUGGGGGCCGGGGCCACUCCUCUUGCACAGGCGUAGCCUUAUGACUGCUCCAACCAACAGUUCUCGGCCAUGAUGCUAAGGCAGAACAAUAAGGCAGCACAGUGUCUACCUUAUUCAAUAGAACCCUCCUGUUUAGAGUCCUGAACUACUACAAAAUCAUCUGGCUAUCCUGAGGAAUGCUCACUGUAUUUAAAAAAAAAAAAAAAAAGCCCCAUAAGGCACAAGUCCCAAUUGGUAGACAGUCCAUGUUGAGGGAUAAGACCCAAAACCUCAAAAAUAGUGCAAUCAUCUCUAUGACAUCCUGACUGAUUUCCUGACCUACAGAAGCCAUGAAUAAAACAAAAAGGUUGUUUUGAUGCUUGAUUUUAGCCAACAGGCCAAGAAACAAUAGAAAUGGCAGCUUCAAAAGUAAAAAUUUUGAUGUAGUUAAUUUGCUACACCAAAACAGUGUUGUAAUCACUCAAUAUCACUGUAAAUGAACUCAACGAUUUUCCAAUCAACUCAGGAAAUUCACCACACUAGAAUAAAAGGUUUCCCAAAUACGAUGAUCUUUCACGUAUAUGGUAUCCUACUUGAUGUUUCCUGUUACAGUGUCAGAGCAAUGAAACUUAAGUCCAGACCCUUUGUUAAUGCUGUCGUCCACUCACUUCUUAGUUGUAAGAAAGAGUAACUAUUUGUUUCUUCAUUGCUGGGGGUGGAGCCCAGCUUUGCAGGUUAGGCCAGCUUUCUACCCCUGGCCUGGGAGAAUCGACCUUAGUUGUCGGGCUAAAAGAUACAGCUACUAGGCUUUGCCCUUUUAAGCUCUCAUUUCAAAUUCUAUUUGAAUGAAUGUGGUAAUAAAUUGUAUGCUCACCCUUUCCAUACCACUUAUAACUAUAAAGAUUUUAUUUCAUGUCUGUUCUAUAGUUCUACCAGGAAACACGUCAGCAGUAUUGUUGACAUUUAAAGGUCAAUAUCAUCCAAUCAUUGCUUGUAUUUGUAUUUUAAAGCUACAAAAAUUAACACCCAAUAAUGCUCUUGCCCCCUUCACUGUCUUAAAAUACAACAUAGAGUAUAGAAAACCAAGUCCCAUAAAUACACAAAACUCUCUCUGAACUAAGCAAACUUUCUUUUUCUACCUUUCUGGGAUGCAGGUUCACCACUUUGUGAUUUACUUCUGAGAGAAUGAAGUUAGAGAAUUGCCACCCCUAGGAGGCAGGAUUUUUUUUUUUUUAAACAGAGCUUCUGUGGUUUACAGACUUCAAGGUGGGCAUAUAGAAAUAUCCAGAUCUGGGAAUCAUUUAUUAAUUUAGAAUAAUCCUUCUAUACACUGUGUAAAUUAGACUGUGAUUGGUUUAAUAAAGAAGCUGACUGGCCAAUAGCUGGACAGGAUAAGGUUAGGUGGGAAAACCAGACUAAGAAUGCUGGGAAGAAAGAGGGCAGAGUCAGGAGACAUGGAUAGAAAACAGGAGGUGCAAGAUGAAAGAGAGGUAAUGCCAUGUGGCAGAAUGUAGAUUAAUAGAAAUGGGUUGAUUUAAGUUAUAAGAUUUAGCUAGUAAUAAGCCUGAGCUAUCUGCUGAGCACUUAUCAUUAAUAUUGAGUCUCCAUGACGGGCAGGAAAGAAAAGUCCACCUACAAACGGCAUUCCAGCAUGGGGCCAGCCUCUACCUGCAUGUGAACUUUUGUCCCUGCUCAAAACAAGAAAAUAAUACUUCUUUUAAAAAAAAUGGCCGGGCUGGAGAGAUGGCUCAGGGGUUAAGAGCACUGGCUGCUCUUCCAAAGGUCCUGAGUUCAAUUCCCAGCAACCACAUGGUGGCUCACAACCAUCUGUAAUGAGAUCUGGCGCCCUCUUCUGGCCUGCAGGAAUAUGUGCAGGCAGAACACUGUAUACACAAUAAAUAAAUAAAUCUUUAAAAAAAAAUGGCCUACAACACACUGAAUAUAAAAAAAAGGAAUCAUUCAUCUUAAUAUUCCAUACUUCAGAACCCAAAUUAAGUUAUGGUCUGACUGUCCCAGGAAUCAGGAGCAAAUUCCUAACUGUCCAGUUUCAACAGACAUGAGAGUCAAGUUCUCCCUAACUUAACCAUUAUGAAAAAGCAACCUAAAGUAAAUUGACGAUAACUAAUUAGGUUUUGGGUUUUUGUCUGCUUGUUUUUGUCCAUUGCUAUAAUCCUACUCCUGCCUUACAAGAAAAGUAGCUGUGAAAUGACCAGUUGCUUUUUGUUGUUCCACUGGUCUCUGACCCUCUAUUAUUCAUAAAACUAACUUAUUCUGCCUCAGUCUAUCAGAACACCCAUUUUAUGGAUGAAGUGUUGCCCAAUUCUGGGAUUUCACACAAAAACAUUAUCUGAAAAUUCUAAUUUUGUCCUUGGACACCCUUAUGAAAGUGGUUUUUUGUUUGUUUGUUUGUUUGUUUUUACCCUGCAAUUUCAGUUUGUGGUGAUUUAAAAGGGAGGAUAGAAAUGCUGGCUCAGCCAGGUGUGGUGGCGCAUGCCUUCGAUCCCAAAAGGUAGGGGCAAGUGGAUCUCUGGUUUGAGGCAGAGAAACUCUCAAAAACAAUGAGAGAGAGACAGAGACACAGAGGGAGAGACAGAGACAGACAGAGACAGAGAGAGGAGGAAGAAAAGAAAUGCUGGCUCAAUCAUCAGGAAAGAAGUCAAAGAGCUAACCUUGUGCCCCCAAAAAAAUAAAAACAAAGAAGCACGGUGGGGGGGGGGGACACGGUACACAAAGGGAAUAUAGGAAGGGGGAAAGACAAACGCGCAGGAGGAGGGGUGCACACUCAAACACUGCAGACUUAAAGAUGCUUUAAGCCGGCCGGAGUGCCGGCAUGAAGGCCACGGCUUGAAUCCCAUCCCUUAGACAAUCUUAUUGAGCUGGAAAAUUAGACAAAGCCUUUUGGACUUUUUAACUAUCCUUAAAACUUCAUCAGCUUUUCACGCCCAGCCUUUCAAGGUGCAAUAGUUGGACAGGACAAUCCAAAUGGUGAUUACAUUUAAAAUUACAGGCUAAGGUGUCUCAUCCCAGCCUUCAUAUAGACUGCUUCCACAGGAUCUCCAGCUCACAGAGGGAAGGCAUAAUAAACACAGCUCAAAGCCUCCAGAUAAAUCUAAUGGACCUAUUUUGUAGUUGUUUCCUUUUAACAGGACCUCCCAGCUUGGAAGGUGACGAAUUACAGUUUUACUCAAAAAAAAAAAAAAAAA
This is a long non-coding RNA of Peromyscus californicus insignis, 8572 nucleotides long. RefSeq lists it as uncharacterized. The record is from RefSeq and is a predicted model, not a curated record. The transcript is spliced from 3 exons. NCBI's taxonomy places the organism in Eukaryota, Metazoa, Chordata, Mammalia, Rodentia, Cricetidae.